CUCUUCCGAUCUCAAAAAACGGACGACAUGGCGCUCAUCCCCACCUAUAUGGGAUGAGAACGUCCAGAAUUAAAAUCACAAGGGUCCCACCGGAAGUGGAUCCUAUGUGGUUGUUGGCGGCAGUCCUAAUCAACCAGGAGGAGAAAAUUACUCCCCUCCAGGCUGCUGUCACCGAAAAAGCUAAUUGGACUGGUCAAACAGCCAAUCUCCUCAUUCAGGUGGAACCUAAAACAAUUGAAGCGAUUCCCGAGAAAACUGAAAUAGGGGAGGAGGCCUUCAUAGUGUUUGUUGAGGGUCGAAAACCCCGAUGAUUUUUGUGUGGCCAAUUAGGCCACAUUCGAAAGAAUUGCAAGGAAGGAGAGGAAGAGGAGAAAGAAGAAAAAAAGAGGAAAAAGAGGAAAAAUAAAAAGAAGAGAAGAAAACAACAAACAAAAG
Octopus sinensis (East Asian common octopus) is the source of this 435-nucleotide long non-coding RNA. RefSeq lists it as uncharacterized. Lineage: Eukaryota; Metazoa; Mollusca; Cephalopoda; Octopoda; Octopodidae. The transcript has 3 exons. The record is from RefSeq and is a predicted model, not a curated record.